ACGACCGCCAACAGGAAAGGGGGAGGGGAGAUGAAGAAGGAAGAGGGCGGCACCGCUAUCAUGGUCGCCAAGGCAUGAUGAGCUCCGGCAUGGAAGGUGGACAAUGUUGCUGGCCUCGACUUUGACUACCUCGACGACGACAGUUACAUUCCGACUCGGAUGCGAAUCUCUUGGCAGUUUUAAAUCACCAUGUUGGGAGAGAUCUCCAUGUGGUUGCUGUUGAGUUUUGAGAGCUUACCUGGUAGAGGAGUUGUAUCUACUUUUGAGCAGCAUAAAG
Lolium perenne is the source of this 277-nucleotide non-coding RNA. NCBI's taxonomy places the organism in Eukaryota, Viridiplantae, Streptophyta, Magnoliopsida, Poales, Poaceae. The record is from RefSeq and is a predicted model, not a curated record.